Molecule: ribosomal RNA, 253 nt
Filed under: uncultured bacterium
Lineage: Bacteria
Description: partial 16S ribosomal RNA
Rfam family: Bacterial small subunit ribosomal RNA
Source: RNAcentral
UACGGAGGGGGCUAGCGUUGUUCGGAAUUACUGGGCGUCCAGCGCGCGUAGGCGGCUUUGUAAGUUAGAGGUGAAAGCCCAGGGCUCAACCCUGGAAUUGCCUUUAAGACUGCAUCGCUUGAACAUCGGAGAGGUAAGUGGAAUUCCGAGUGUAGAGGUGAAAUUCGUAGAUAUUCGGAAGAACACCAGUGGCGAAGGCGACUUACUGGACGAUUGUUGACGCUGAGGUGCGAAAGCGUGGGGAGCAAACAGG